Molecule: non-coding RNA, 73 nt
Organism: Candidatus Curtissbacteria bacterium
Lineage: Bacteria; Candidatus Curtissiibacteriota
Source: Rfam
GCCAGCGUAGCUCAGUGGUAAGAGCGAGGCCCUCAUAAAGCCUAGGCCGUUGGUUCAAUUCCAACCGCUGGCA